Nanorana parkeri is the source of this 397-nucleotide long non-coding RNA. RefSeq lists it as uncharacterized. The transcript has 3 exons. NCBI's taxonomy places the organism in Eukaryota, Metazoa, Chordata, Amphibia, Anura, Dicroglossidae. The record is from RefSeq and is a predicted model, not a curated record.
CUCACCAACAGAAAAUAUUGAUGAUUUCCUCCCACCGCCUCCUGAUCUUGAUUGUGCAAUAACAGAUACAUGUUGGCCCAAAGUAAAUGGGUCUCAGUUGUCCAGCUACAUAUCUGCAGAUGAUUUUUUGCCACCACCCCCUGCCAUUGGGUAUGAAAUAACAGAUUCCUAUUGGUCACCUGGAAAUGCUCCUGAUGUCCCAGCAUGGCCUCCUUCCCUGGAUGAACUCCCGCCUCCUCCAGACUGCUAGACGCAGCGAUAUCUCAGAAUUACCACGGGAGGGGGGCGCAGAGGGCAGGCGGCAUUCUCCUUUCUCUUUUUUCCUGCACCAAGCACAUUUCAAGACUUUGAAGUUUUCCCGACUACAAUGGAAAUAGAAAAAUGAUGAACUGGCAGA